Molecule: regulatory RNA element, 112 nt
Rfam family: PyrR binding site
About the family: This family represents the PyrR binding site and terminator structure. This RNA structure is found upstream of a variety of genes involved in pyrimidine biosynthesis and transport.
Source: Rfam
CGGUCCUUUAAUGAAAUCCAGAGAGGUUUCCAAGGACGCGUUAAAAUAAUCAUCCAUCUUGCGGGUUGUUUUAAGGUAGUCUUUGGGCCGGAGCUCAAGGGCUAUUAUUUUU